Molecule: long non-coding RNA, 915 nt
Filed under: Homo sapiens (human)
Lineage: Eukaryota; Metazoa; Chordata; Mammalia; Primates; Hominidae
Description: HSALNT0308231
Source: RNAcentral
GACGGUGGGCGUGGCUUGAGGAAGGGCGUUUGUGAUUGGUGGGUUCUGCCGCGGCCGGGAAGUUCGAACAGAAGUCUGGGGAAGAGCCGGCGAAGAGCAAAGAGAUAAUACAGUACUCCCAGCUAUAGCAAGCGGCAGUUAUGGAGCAUGCGCAGCAGCAGGGGCGGCCGCAGGUCGCCGUUCAAUAAUACUCAAGGGAUUUGUACAGCCCUGUAGGAGACACCUCCAGAGAAAGUAACAGCUCUCAAUUGAUUAGCUGAGGAAGACACCAGACAAAUGAGUUACACUGUUUUGGACUCCCCAACACAACCCAGCCACCGGCUGAAUGCCACCAAAUUACCUUCUAGUUAAAGGUUUAUGGAGCAAACGAAUCACCUAUUCAAUAUCUGCUUGAAUUUCUGACUCAAAAUACAUCAGAAGCCUCAGGGGCUGGAUCCUGACAUGAACCAGACACCUCCAGAAUUCUAUCCCAAGCAAAAGAUUAUUUCAAGGCCAGAACUCACUCCCUGCUGGAGACUGACUACAAGAUCCACUGAGAUUGAUGUGUAACCUGAUUGGGCCCACAGUGAUGCUAGCCCCUUCACCAGAUGGAACAAUAAUUCCAGACAAGCCAUCAGAGCAGGUCACACCACUUGACACCUUCUCGCCCCCUUGCCUCUCCUGCAUUCCAAACCCCUCUCUUUAAAAUCCCCAUGUUCCCUCCGUAAACUGGGCAGUGCCAAUUGUUGGAAAGAAUUCUGGCACUCUUUUCCUUCUUAGCAUGGAUAAAAAGAUUCACCCUCUUUUUAUCACACCUCACUCUUGUUAUUUUGGCUUCUUUCUACAAGUGGUGAGCAACCGGGCCCCCUUUGCUGGUUAUAGUAUGAACUAUUUUAUUUUUUUUAAUCUACAAUAAAAUAAAAUACAUUCAUUAGA